GACGAACGCUGGCGGCGUGCUUAACACAUGCAAGUCGAACGGAAAGGCCCUGCUUUUGUGGGGUGCUCGAGUGGCGAACGGGUGAGUAACACGUGAGUAACCUGCCCUUGACUUUGGGAUAACUUCAGGAAACUGGGGCUAAUACCGGAUAGGAGCUCCUGCUGCAUGGUGGGGGUUGGAAAGUUUCGGCGGUUGGGGAUGGACUCGCGGCUUAUCAGCUUGUUGGUGGGGUAGUGGCUUACCAAGGCUUUGACGGGUAGCCGGCCUGAGAGGGUGACCGGCCACAUUGGGACUGAGAUACGGCCCAGACUCCUACGGGAGGCAGCAGUGGGGAAUAUUGCACAAUGGGCGGAAGCCUGAUGCAGCAACGCAGCGUGCGGGAUGACGGCCUGCGGGUUGUAAACCGCUUUCGCCUGUGACGAAGCGUGAGUGACGGUAAUGGGUAAAGAAGCACCGGCUAACUACGUG
Molecule: ribosomal RNA, 468 nt
Filed under: uncultured bacterium
Lineage: Bacteria
Description: partial 16S ribosomal RNA
Rfam family: Bacterial small subunit ribosomal RNA
Source: RNAcentral